AACCUGCGGAAGGAUCAUUACCGAGAGGGGGGCCUCGCGCUCCCGGGGGCUCCGGCUCCCAACUCUUCACCCGUUGCGUACAUACCACCGUUGCUUCGGCGGGCCCCGGGGUUCGCCCCCCCGCCAGCUUUUGGGCCGGCGAGCGCCCGCCGGAGAACCAUACAAAUCGUACUUUUAUCAGUGAUGUCCGAGCGAAAACACAAAUAAUCAAAACUUUCAACAACGAAUCUCUUGGUUUGAGCAUCGAUGAAGAACGCAGCGAAAUGCGAUAAGUAAUGUGAAUUGCAGAAUUCAGUGAAUCAUCGAAUCUUUGAACGCACAUUGCGCCCCUCGGUAUUCCGGGGGGCAUGCCUGUUCGAGCGUCAUUACACCCCUCAAGCGUAGCUUGGUAUUGGGUCCUCGCCCCCGGGGCGUGCCCGAAAAGCAGUGGCAGUCCGGUGCGACUCGAAGCGUAGUAAACUUCCAUCCCGCUUGCAGAGUUCGCCCCGCGGCCGGCCAGACAACGCCAAUCAAUCCAAUCAUUGACCUCGGAUCAGGUAGGGAUACCCGCUGAACUUAA
RNAcentral lists this ribosomal RNA (559 nucleotides) under Menegazzia confusa. RNAcentral describes it as "eukaryotic LSU rRNA". The stretch from base 212 to 365 matches the Rfam family "5.8S ribosomal RNA". The record is from RNAcentral. Lineage: Eukaryota; Fungi; Ascomycota; Lecanoromycetes; Lecanorales; Parmeliaceae.